AUACUUACCUGGCAGGGGAGAUACCAUGAUCAUGUAGGUGGUUCACCCAGGGGCGAGGCUCAGCUAUUGCACUGAGGCUGUCUGACCUCUGUGAUCAGCGGUGAGCUCGACAGUAGUGCAGUUUGCGUUAGGACUUAUUGGCUGAGAGUCUAUAAAUA
RNAcentral lists this small nuclear RNA (158 nucleotides) under Betta splendens (Siamese fighting fish). RNAcentral describes it as "U1 spliceosomal RNA (ENSBSLG00000015806.1)". The stretch from base 1 to 119 matches the Rfam family "U1 spliceosomal RNA". From Rfam's summary of the family: U1 is a small nuclear RNA (snRNA) component of the spliceosome (involved in pre-mRNA splicing). Lineage: Eukaryota; Metazoa; Chordata; Actinopteri; Anabantiformes; Osphronemidae. The record is from RNAcentral.